This 464-nucleotide ribosomal RNA is filed under the name uncultured bacterium. RNAcentral's name for it is "partial 16S ribosomal RNA". It matches the Rfam family "Bacterial small subunit ribosomal RNA", at positions 28 to 507 of the family's 1533-position model. The record is from RNAcentral.
GACGAACGCUGGCGGCGUGCUUAACACAUGCAAGUCGAGCGGAAAGGCCCUUUCGGGGGUACGCGAGCGGCGAACGGGCGAGUAACACGUACGUAAUCAGCCUUUCCCUUAGGGAUAAAUACCGGAAACGGAGGCGAAUACCCGACACGACCAUUCCCCUCAUGCGGUGGUGGGGGUAAGUAGUUCGGGUGGGGAUGUGCUCGCGGCCUAUCAGCUUGUUGGUGGGGUAAUGGCUUACCAAGGCUUCGACGGGUAGCCGGCCUGAGAGGGUGACCGGCCACACUGGGACUGAGACACGGCCCAGACUCCUACGGGAGGCAGCAGUGGGGAAUAUUGGACAAUGGGCGGAAGCCUGAUGCAGCAACGCCGCGUGAGGGAUGACGGCCUUCGGGUUGUAAACCUCUUUCGCCUGUGACGAAGCGAGAGUGACGGUAGCGGGAGAAGAAGCACCGGCUAACUACGUG